This 230-nucleotide long non-coding RNA is filed under the name Gallus gallus (chicken). Lineage: Eukaryota; Metazoa; Chordata; Aves; Galliformes; Phasianidae. The record is from RNAcentral.
CUGAACUACACCUGUGAAGUUGCAGCUCGAAGCCUGGCACAAUGGAGCACAACCUCUGAGAGCACAGUUUACGGAUGACGUAGAGACAAAUGAAGACAUACUCACACGCCAUUACAAGAAAUGCUUGGAGACCCACAGCCGGCCCCUCCAGAUCGCCCAUCUCAGCCUCCCGCCUCCCAAAAGCAAUGCUCCUACUGGCACCUAGUGGUGGACGGAGACACCAGCGGGAG